This is a non-coding RNA of Camellia sinensis, 1366 nucleotides long. Lineage: Eukaryota; Viridiplantae; Streptophyta; Magnoliopsida; Ericales; Theaceae. The record is from RefSeq and is a predicted model, not a curated record.
CCUGUUCUUUGACUUUGCCCUCUUUUUACUGUUGUAGACUGUAGUAGAAACAUAAAAAUGAUAUAUUUUAAGAAGAAACAUAAAAUAAAAAAACUGAUAUAUUUUUAUAUUUCUUGUGUUUAGUGAACAUUUGUUAGAUUUUUUCAUAAAUUUUUUCAUUGUGUGACUAUGACUGCAUUGUUAGCUAAGGUUGCGGCCAUGGCACUUGCUCAGCACCCAGUUGUGAAUACUACAUGUAAAGAUGGGAAGAGUUUUACUUAUAAUAGCAGUAUAAAUAUUGCAGUUGCUGUGGCAAUUAAUGGUGGGUUGAUAACCCCUGUUCUUCCAAGGUGGUUUGGUGGAUUCCUUUCAUGUAUUCACAUUUCUUCCUCGUAAUUGAAAAGGGUGAACCAAGUUUCCAUCUAUUUGGUUUUAUAAUGUGUCAUGGUGCUACAGCUGCAAGGGCAUUAAAGUCUCUGCUUCAAGGCAUUUUGCUGUCCUCAGAAGGGGAAAAACUAAAUUCUAUGAACCUUCUGUUAUACAUGGCACCAAUAGCUGUUUAGUUCUUAAUUCCUGCUACAUUGUUGAUGGAGGAAAACAUGGUUGGGAUCAUAAUAGCUCUUGCCAGAGAUGAUAUCAAAAUAAUCUUUUAUUUACUCUUCAAUUCUGCCUUGGCAUAUUGUGUGAACUUGACCAAUUUCUUGGUCACCAAACACACCAAUGCUCUGACUCUCCAGGAUUGAGGAAAAUAAAUAUAUAUAAGAACUCAUCAUCUGUGGGGCACCUCUGUGAGAAAGUAUCUAAGCUAUACCCAAAACACUAAAAAUCGCUGGAUGGUUACCAAAAACUGCUCUAAUCUGGCUUCUUGUUGAGUAUUCAAAUCAAGCUUCUUCCUCUAUUUUGUCAGGGUUGAGAAAGAAAUAGAAGAGAGAAGAAAGAUCUCCUUUCACAAGGUUGGAAUAUCCGUGGCACCCCCAGUCAGUUUUCAGGACAUCGUUGCUUCCCACGGAGACUCUGAAGAGGAUAUUGUGGGGUGUCAGUUGCUUACAGAGGCAGUUAAGAAGGUGCAAAUUCAGGUAAAUUGGUCAUAAUGUUCAUGCAAUUACUCAUAUUGGCAUUUUUUCAUUGACAAACUAAUUCCCUGCAAGUUUGCAUCCUUUUGUUAUCUAUCCUUUCUCCUUUAGCACUGUAGGUUCUGUGACAUAACCGUACACUUUAGAUAACUAUUGCAUUGAAUUUAUGUACCAGUUUAUUUGCUUGAAUUUGAUUUGUCCCGGCCUUCUUUGCAUGCUUUUUCUCCCCCAACUUCAUGUAAAACUAAGAUGAAAGAGGAAAACAGACAAAUGAACAAGUCACAGCCAUGAUUCUUUUCCUUUUCUUUUUUUUU